GAUGAACGCUGGCGGCGUGCUUAACACAUGCAAGUCGAACGAUGAAGCCCAGCUUGCUGGGUGGAUUAGUGGCGAACGGGUGAGUAACACGUGAGCAACCUGCCCCUGACUCUGGGAUAAGCGCUGGAAACGGCGCCUAAUACUGGAUAUGUCCCGUCACCGCAUGGUGUGCGGGUGGAAAGAUUUUUCGGUUGGGGAUGGGCUCGCGGCCUAUCAGCUUGUUGGUGAGGUAAUGGCUCACCAAGGCGUCGACGGGUAGCCGGCCUGAGAGGGUGACUGGCCACACUGGGGCUGAGACACGGCCCAGACUCCUACGGGAGGCAGCAGUGGGGAAUAUUGCACAAUGGGCGGAAGCCUGAUGCAGCAACGCCGCGUGAGGGAUGACGGCCUUCGGGUUGUAAACCUCUUUUAGCAGGGAAGAAGCGAAAGUGACGGUACCUGCAGAAAAAGCACCGGCUAACUACGUG
RNAcentral lists this ribosomal RNA (467 nucleotides) under uncultured bacterium. RNAcentral's name for it is "partial 16S ribosomal RNA". It matches the Rfam family "Bacterial small subunit ribosomal RNA", at positions 28 to 507 of the family's 1533-position model. The record is from RNAcentral.